AAGGAUUAUUUCCACAUUCCUCUCUCUGAAGACAAACAAGGCAGGCGGUAUCUGGAGUUAAUGUAUGCUGGAGCCGCUCUAAAGGACAGUUGGAGUCUUGCUGAUGUUGGAAUACCUUUCUGUUCAACUCUCAAAUGCUUUGUUAAGGAAGAAGACAAGCCUACUCUAUACGUGUUCAAUGCUGUAACUCAAGACACAAUGCCAGUAAUGGAGAGCAUUUCCCUUCUUGAUAAAACAGUGUCUGAUCUGAGAACACUGGUAACUCUGAGAUGUGGGCUCCCCGUGAGUGUCUACUGUCUCCGAACCCCAAGGGGCCUGGAGAUGUAUGAUUGCAACAACCUCAAGGACUACCAGACUGAUAUCGGUACUGCCCAGUAUAUUUGAUAUCAGCUACCAUUCGGCACUAGGGUCCUUUGAUACCAGAUUUUGCAGCUUUUCAAGAGAAAAUGGAAAUCUAGAUUUUCAUAUACAAUCUGUUAACUUUAUUUACAUAUUCACUUUAAAACAGUUAAUACAUUUACAUGGUUUAAAUAUCAGAAGUGAAAAAGGAUGUGUAGUGGUAAGUUUCCCUCCCUCUCCUGGCCCUACAAGCACUUAGUUCCCUCCUCACAGGCAACCAUUAUUGUUUUGAAGAUUUACAAUCAAAACAAUUUCCAAAUUAAAUCUGAACAGAUGGAGGCAUUAUUUCUAAAUGGAAACCUCUGUAAGUUCAGUAUGGAUAUGAAUUAUCAACAUUUCAUUCUUGGGUCUGGGUCUACAGACUAAGAAAUAAGGAGAGUCUCAUAGCCCUGUCAAGUCUUGUUCUCAAAGCAGAUUCAUUAAUAUCCUCAAGGUGGAAGAGCAAAACUCAGACCACUUCAUCUUUUUCUCUUUCAAAAUAUGCUUCAAGUAUGUAUAAAUGCAAGUUCAAGUACAUAUUCUUUUUCCCCUUUUUAAUGCAAGGUAGCAUACGAUACAUGCUAUUCUGAACCCUGCUUUGGGCAAUUUCAUCCUAAAAUGUUGCUGAUUAUAUUAAAAUAAUCUUUUUAACAAUGUGACACCAAUGCUAUACUGGCUGAAAAUCUGCCUUAGUGGAAUAGCAUUUAUCCGUUACAGAAAUUACAACCUCUCUCUAAAUACUAUACCUUGGCUGGGCAUAGUGACUAGUGAUUCAUACCUCUAAUGCUAGCAUUUUUGGAGGCCAAGGGAGGGGGGAUCACUUGAGUUCAGUAGUUCAAGACCAGCCUAGGCAACAUAGUGAGAUGCUCAUCUACACACACACACACACAAAAACAAUAGCAGGAUGUGGUGGUGCCCAGCUGCUUGGGAGGCUGAGGUAGGAGGAUCACUUGGGCCAAGAGGUUAAGGCUACAGUGAGCUAUGAUCACACCACUGCACUCCAGCCUGGGUGACAGCAAGACCCUGUCUCGAAAAAAAAAAAAAAAUCUGUACUUCCAGGUCAUGUCUGCAGUAGCCAAACAUCAAUAAGACAAACAAAAAAGGCUGUCGGAUUUGUUUUAAGCACACUAAAACAUGAUUUGACUAUAUAGAGAUGAUUAACAUGGCCCCUACCUGACGAUGACACACAAGUUCAUGAAGCAUUUCACAUUUUUUAAAAAUGGUUAGAACCUUAUAGAAAUUACUUGAAGUAAAUGAAUCCUUGCUGACAAUCAGCACAACCUUAGGUAACACUGUGUUGUAACAUUGCAAUGAAAUUUGAGUUCUCCCAACAUAUACAUUGGGCUUUGUAGGUAUCCUUAGUUAAGUAGUUUUGCUUUAUAUAACUGCUAAAUUUGCAUUUAUUGAUACUUCUCCUGACUAUAGUAUUUGCUUAGCAUUAUUCUUUCCCGUUAUUUUAAAUUAAGCCUCUCAAAACUUUGACAUAAUUUUUUUCUUUGUUUUUGAUCAGGGGAAGUGAAGUUCUACAAUUUCUCCUCAGAGUACUUUGCUAUAAUACACAUACCUGCUCUACAUUCUUGCUGGAGGCUGAACCCUGCCUAGAACAUGAUGGGGGCUUACAUAAGGAAGGGCACACAGUGGCAUUUGUCCCCAACCAACAGAUAAUCUAGUUAUUUAAUGAAGUACCAAAGGAUGAAACAAAACUAGGAUAAACUCGGGAUGACUAUUCUUCAGGCCUAUACUGCUCAGAUUAUAAUGUGACGUUUUAAGCUGGAAGAUCAUUUGAAUUGACCCAACCCCAACUUUUACAGACUUGAAAAAAAGCAAAUCAUCUUAAUGAUUAAAUGACUUGCUCAGCGUGUGUCAAGG
Molecule: small RNA, 2247 nt
Filed under: Pongo abelii (Sumatran orangutan)
Lineage: Eukaryota; Metazoa; Chordata; Mammalia; Primates; Hominidae
Source: RNAcentral